UAGAAAUGAGUCAUUAGUUCAUGAACUCAGAGAAGCUUUGGCUGAUGUUGAAGAAAAACCUGAGAUUAUUCCUGGGGAGCAUGGAGUUGUUGAGGUUGCUCGCCAUCCAGAUGCUGUCAGUGUAGUUACGGGAAUAGUAGGUUGUGCAGGCUUAAAGCCUACGGUGGCUGCAAUAGAAGCUGGAAAAGACAUAUGCUUGGCCAAUAAAGAGACAUUAAUUGCUGGAGGGCCCUUUGUCCUUCCUCUUGCUCACAAAUAUAAUGUGAAAAUUCUCCCGGCUGAUUCAGAACAUUCUGCUAUAUUUCAGUGUAUUCAAGGCCUGCCAGAUGGUGCACUGCGGCGUAUUAUUUUAACUGCUUCAGGUGGAGCUUUCAGGGAUUGGCCUGUUGAUAAAUUGAAAGAAGUUAAAGUAGCUGAUGCUUUAAAGCAUCCUAACUGGAAUAUGGGGAAAAAGAUUACAGUGGACUCUGCUACCCUUUUCAAUAAGGGUUUAGAAGUCAUUGAAGCCCAUUAUUUGUUUGGAGCUGAGUAUGAUAAUAUUGA
Molecule: unclassified non-coding RNA, 543 nt
Filed under: Hevea brasiliensis (rubber tree)
Lineage: Eukaryota; Viridiplantae; Streptophyta; Magnoliopsida; Malpighiales; Euphorbiaceae
Source: RNAcentral